RNAcentral lists this long non-coding RNA (211 nucleotides) under Capsicum annuum. Its description in RNAcentral is "long non-coding RNA (CANN_LNC009826)". Lineage: Eukaryota; Viridiplantae; Streptophyta; Magnoliopsida; Solanales; Solanaceae. The record is from RNAcentral.
AGGGAACCAAGGCAAAUGCAGAAUAAGAACCUUAAGCAUAAGAGCUAUUAAAAUACAUACAACACUAGGAGAGUGCUAUUAACCGAGAUAGGGGAGAAUCACAAGAAUAGGGGUAAAUGCACCUCGACCUUCCCUAGAAGUCCACUGCUAGAAAAAAGAUUAAAGAUUAAACCUCGACCUUCAUACCAUGAUGCCUAAAAGCACAGUACUC